UAUGGCUAUAUCAUGUUGAAACACCAGUUCUCUUAUAAUCACCGAAGUUAAGCAAUGUUAAGUUUGGUCAGUACCUAGAUGGGUAACAACUUGGGAAUAACAGGUGCU
Molecule: non-coding RNA, 108 nt
Organism: Acanthosepion pharaonis
Lineage: Eukaryota; Metazoa; Mollusca; Cephalopoda; Sepiida; Sepiidae
Source: the annotation of a GenBank genome assembly